This 392-nucleotide ribosomal RNA is filed under the name Reckertia sp. RNAcentral's name for it is "partial small subunit ribosomal RNA". It matches the Rfam family "Eukaryotic small subunit ribosomal RNA", at positions 587 to 975 of the family's 1831-position model. Lineage: Eukaryota; Cercozoa; Imbricatea; Thaumatomonadida; Thaumatomastigidae. The record is from RNAcentral.
AGCUCCAGUAGCGUAUAUUAAAGUUGUUGCAGUUAAAAAGCUCGUAGUUGGAUUUCUGCUUGUAGCGUUGGGCCCGCUCGGGUUACCGAUGUGUGUGCCUGUUCGCUCCUUGCAUCCUUCUAGAAAACGGUUCUCUCCUUCAUUGGUUGUGGGAUCGCAAUCUAGAUCUUUUACUUUGAAAAAAUUAGAGUGUUUAAAGCAGGCUUGUGCUAUGAAUACAUUAGCAUGGAAUAAUAAUUUAGGACUUUAGUUCUAUUUUGUUGGUUUCUAGAACUGAAGUAAUGAUUGAUAGGGAUAGUUGGGGGUGCUAGUAUUCAGCGGCCAGAGGUGAAAUUCUUAGAUUCGCUGAAGACUAACUUAUGCGAAAGCAUUCACCAAGGAUGUCUUCUUUA